This is a long non-coding RNA of Danaus plexippus (monarch butterfly), 2347 nucleotides long. RefSeq lists it as uncharacterized. The record is from RefSeq and is a predicted model, not a curated record. NCBI's taxonomy places the organism in Eukaryota, Metazoa, Arthropoda, Insecta, Lepidoptera, Nymphalidae. The transcript is spliced from 2 exons.
UCCAUAUAUUGAAAAUAUAGGAUUGGAAGAAGCAAAUCCUAAAGAACGAUGUAAAAUAUGACACAGUGCAAAAUGAACUUUUAUAGCAAACACAUGCAACGUGAAUAAAUGCACAAAAAAAUUGUAUGCGCAAAAAACGGAUUCAGCGGAACGUCGUCUAGCUGCAGCGUAGACCGCCAGCUUGGAAGGCGAUGGCAGGCUGGAGUCGCGCGGCCUGACGAGAGACUCACGAGAUUCAGCCGCCGGCAGGGAAGCGGAUGUUGGCACUGAUGGUAACUUACGGACAGUGUCGUACGGCGAGGGGGAACUACGAGAUGCUGUUGAUGCGAUGGAACCAGACCCGUCGGAGUCCUUAACGAAUAUUUAAUAAGGAUAUUACACACCAAAUAUAACGUAAUGUAGAUUAACAAAUGUACAAAAUGAGAAGCAGAUAUUUUAAAUUACAUUUAAUUCUUUUCCUUAAAAAAUAUAAGUAUAUAAAUCAUUAAAACACCUUUAGUGUAAACAAGGUUUAUUUAUUUAUAUAUAUCGGUCCGUUUAGUUUUGUCUACGGUUAAGUAAUAUAAAUUGCUUACUUUCCGAGCGUCCCUGUGUUCCAUUCUCUCGUAUCUAGUGUUUCUGGCGGAAGGUUUCCGUGGUGGUCGAGGGAGAGCUGAGGGUGGCGGCGGAAGGCUGGACGAACGUGUCUGUUGGGAGGCGCGACCUUGACGCUCCAGGAGUAAAGCUUCCUCGCCUCGACCGCGGACACCGGCGGCGCUCAGACCAGGGAAACAGCAUAACCCUCGCUAACACAUAAAAUUAACAAUCUAACGAAUGGCUAAUAAAAGGGGUUGUGUUUUAAUUCAUAUCUAUUUAUCGACUUCAAAUUAAUUGCUCCCCUACAUUUAUUUCUCGCAUCGUAAACACGUAUUGAUAAUAUAUGUACGUGAAUACUCUAUAAUGCUUUGCUUCUGUAUGCAUUUGCAUGCAUCUAAUUGAAGUAGAAAUGUUCAGAAAGUGUUAAGGAAUCCGCACUUUGUUAUUGAGUUAAUGAACCAGCACAAUUGAACAAUACAAACAAACUGAAUGAUUUCUUAGCUUACCUUGUUCCGAAAACAGCUCUCGUGAAAGCAUCGUCCGUCUUAACGUGAGCUAUCAAUGUGCACAAUUCCUUGUCUAAUCUCAAUUAUUUCAGAUUUAAUAUCUAUACUAGAAGUACAUACACAUUACAUAUAAUUUUUAAUUUAACUUAUUUUAAGUCGUCUCAGUUAAUUUCUUGCCACCGAGAAACGAAGUCGUUUUAAUUACGGUUAUUCUGCAGGCUUUUUGAGUUUGGAAUAUGUAAUAACAAGAGGUCUUGUCAUGUAACUACAUGAAUCAUUUCAUCAAACUCUAUACCUGACUGUAGACUGAAAAAUUGUCGAUAUUUAAUUGAUUUCAAAUAUUACCCGAAAUUAAGUUAUUCUUGAAGUACAACACACUUUUGAGUCUCCUUACAAUCCUAUCUCAGACAGACAUUAAUUAGGUGAUUUUUAUAAAAAUGUAUAUUUGUACGUUUUUUCUUAACUAUUAUAUUAUUUUAAAUUCCAUUGUCGUAGCUAUAUUCACUUAAAGAAAAUUCGCACACUGAUCAAAAAUAAAACUCAGCCAACACACUACACUCAAAAUUAAAAAAAAACGUGUUAUUUGAAGCUCAAAACAUUAUCAAUCAUAUUGGAAUCACGAAAUACCAGCCGCGUCUCUUUAAAGGCUACAAAUAUUCCUUGAUCCCAAUAAAUAAACAAAUCAAAGUUAAUAUAUCAACUCCAAGCCUCUAGUAUUAGGAACAAUUAAAACCACAACAAACAAAACAUUGUUUAUUACUGACAUUCCAUUUUUAAAUAUGCCGAUUACAAAACCCAAUACAAAAUAUAUUGCUAACACUUAAGAGCCUCGCUGUGAAGCUGCCGAGAGGAAUAUCAUCAAUACAUUGACUUAUUUUAAUAUACAAAAAUACGAGUCAGACGUCUGAAGUACAUUCUUAGUUUAUAAUAAAUAAGAAUACAUUUUUACCAAUAUAUAUACUACAGUAAGAUUAUCUCGAGACUAUCUUUAUACUAGCUUUGGCUUAAUUUGUGACCGACUCGAUACAACACAACAAUUAAAAACAUUACAACACAACAAAGUUUCCAAUCAUUUGGUUAAUAAAACGUUCUGUUCACGAAAUCUAUUCUCAGAGAUUCUUAUAAAAAUAUAUUGGCACCUACAGUUUGUAUAUAUUAUAACAAUAUCAAGGCCACCGUUUAAGGCAAGUCAUUUUCCAGUCACACAUUAAUAACAUAGUACAUACUGUCUAUGAGAUGCAAUACUCGUCAUAUAUUAGACAAAA